RNAcentral lists this ribosomal RNA (506 nucleotides) under uncultured bacterium. RNAcentral's name for it is "partial 16S ribosomal RNA". It matches the Rfam family "Bacterial small subunit ribosomal RNA", at positions 29 to 523 of the family's 1533-position model. The record is from RNAcentral.
AGUGAACGCUGGCGGUAGGCCUAACACAUGCAAGUCGAACGGCAGCCCAGGAGAGCUUGCUCUCUGGGUGGGGAGUGGCGGACGGGUGAGGAAUACAUCGGAAUUUAAUUUUUCGUGGGGGAUAACGUAGGGAAACUUACGCUAAUACCGCAUACGACCUACGGGUGAAAGCAGGGGACCUUCGGGCGUUGCGCGAUUGCAUGAGCCGAUGGCGGAUUAGCUAGUUGGCGGGGUAAAGGCCCACCAAGGCGACGAUCCGUAGCUGGUCUGAGAGGAUGACCAGCCAACCUGGAACUGAGACACGGUCCAGACUCCAACGGGAGGCAGAAGUGGGGAAUAUUGGAAAAUGGGCGCAAGCCUGAUCCAGCCAUCCCGCGUGGGUGGAGAAGGCCUUCGGGUUGUAAAGCCCUUUUGUUGGGAAAGAAAUCCAGCUGGCUAAUACCCGGUUGGGAUGACGGUACCCAAAGAAUAAGCACCGGCUAACUUCGUGCCAGCAGCCGCCGUAA